AAUUUGUCCUUGGUUAAAUUGCUGUUGGUUUUUAUCUGCAAAUUUGCUGAGGACAAAAU
RNAcentral lists this microRNA precursor (59 nucleotides) under Panagrellus redivivus. Its description in RNAcentral is "mir-7957 microRNA precursor family". It matches the Rfam family "mir-7957 microRNA precursor family". The record is from Rfam by way of RNAcentral. Lineage: Eukaryota; Metazoa; Nematoda; Chromadorea; Rhabditida; Panagrolaimidae.